GCCAUCUACGUGCCAAAUAUAAUUGGGUCCUUUCACUUUGUACGAUCGUCUCUUUAAUCGGUGUUUCGAACGCCUUUGAACCCCUGCAGGAUCUACAAUUUUUAGGACCUGACGGACUGUUUCCCUGUCUGUAACUAGAUUGUAAUCCACCGUCAAUCUCUUGUGCAUUGCUCUGUACCCGAUUGAACUACCACUUCCACGUAACUCCCUUUCUACCUCAGACACAACUUCGUACACUGAACUGCAUACCUUUCGGCGUCGCAACCCCAUUGUCUUGAGUAGUCGUUUCAACUGGCGAAGACUGAGUAUGAUUCCGUGAAACUUCGAAAGAAACACCAAAAUUUCUUCAUAAGGAAAGCCAAGAUUGAAGUAUUUUUGUAUAUAACUCUCUCUGGAACCUUCACCUAGUUCCGAAAGUGGUAGAUAUUCAUGAAGAGUAACGGCGAAACAUGUCGUCGUGAUAAUGAUUAAAUAGAGUACGCAAACACAACAUAAGAGACGAACGGCCAUGUUGGUGUGAUUUUGAAAAAGAAUAACCCUCAUUCUGACAUUAAAAGAAGUCGGAAUUUGAAAAAAAAGUCGGAAUUUUAAAAAAGUCGGAAUUUAAAAAAAAAAGUCGGAAUUCGAAAAAAAAAGUCGGAAUUUAAAAAAAGUCGGAAUUUUAAAAAAGUCGGAAUUUAAAAAAAGAAGUCGGAAUUCGAAAAAAAAAGUCGGAAUUAAAAAAAAAGUCGGAAUUUAAAAAAAAAGUCGGAAUUCGAAAAAAAAGUCGGAAUUUUAAAAAAAAAGUCGGAAUUCGAAAAAAAAGUCGGAAUUUAAAAAAAAGUUGGAAUUUUAAAAAAAGUCGGAAUUUUAAAACAAAAAAGUCGGAAUUUAAAAAAAAGUCGGAAUUCGAAAAAAAAGUCGGAAUUAAAAAAAAAAGUCGGAAUUUAAAAAAAAGUCGGAAUUCGAAAAAAAAAGUCGGAAUUAAAAAAAAAAGUCGGAAUUUAAAAAAAAAGUCGGAAUUCGAAAAAAAAAGUCGGAAUUAAAAAAAAAGUCGGAAUUUAAAAAAAAGCAGCAGAUAAAUCUAUGGCCCUUAUGGGGCUCCGUACAUUUCUGUUUAUUGACCAGUACUUAUUUAAUGUCUUCUUCAUCCAGUGGUCAGAGUAAAUUUCUACUUCUAGCAAGUAAAUAUUUGACAAGCAGUCUGGAAUAAGCACAGGACUUUUAAUGCAUCAGCCAAAUCCAAGUGUGUCCAUCCCCCUCGCCCAGCCAUUUUCCUGUAAAGCACAUCCCGGGGGUUGGGCA
Paramuricea clavata is the source of this 1284-nucleotide non-coding RNA. NCBI's taxonomy places the organism in Eukaryota, Metazoa, Cnidaria, Anthozoa, Malacalcyonacea, Plexauridae. The record is from the annotation of a GenBank genome assembly.